Molecule: non-coding RNA, 157 nt
Organism: Pelobates cultripes (western spadefoot toad)
Lineage: Eukaryota; Metazoa; Chordata; Amphibia; Anura; Pelobatidae
Source: the annotation of a GenBank genome assembly
GUAGACACAUUCCAGCCAAUCAGCAGCAGACCCUCCCUCCCAGACCCUCCCACCUCCUGGACAGCAUCCAUUUUGAAGCUGCAUUCUUAGUGAGCUGUCCAGGAGGUGGGAGGGUCUGGGAGGGAGGGUCUGCUGCUGAUUGGCUGGAAUGUGUCUG